AGAAUCAACGCUGGCGGCGUGCCUAACACAUGCAAGUCGAACGAGAAAGUGGGAGCAAUCCCACGAGUAAAGUGGCGCACGGGUGAGUAACACGUGACUAACCUACCCUUGAGUGGGGGAUAACCUAGGGAAACCUGGGCUAAUACCGCAUAAUACCUACGGGUCAAAGGAGCAAUUCGCUUUAGGAGGGGGUCGCGGCAGAUUAGUUAGUUGGCGGGGUAAUGGCCCACCAAGACAGUGAUCUGUAUCCGGCCUGAGAGGGCGCACGGACACACUGGAACUGAAACACGGUCCAGACUCCUACGGGAGGCAGCAGUGGGGAAUUUGCGCAAUGGGGGAAACCCUGACGCAGCAACGCCGCGUGGAGGAUGAAGCCCCUUGGGGCGUAAACUCCUUUCGAUCGGGAAGAUAAUGAACGGUACCGGAAGAAGAAGCCCGGCUAACUUCGCGCCAGCAGCCGC
This 461-nucleotide ribosomal RNA is filed under the name uncultured bacterium. RNAcentral describes it as "SSU rRNA". It matches the Rfam family "Bacterial small subunit ribosomal RNA", at positions 26 to 518 of the family's 1533-position model. The record is from RNAcentral.